Long non-coding RNA from Aegilops tauschii subsp. strangulata, 4441 nucleotides. RefSeq lists it as uncharacterized. Lineage: Eukaryota; Viridiplantae; Streptophyta; Magnoliopsida; Poales; Poaceae. The record is from RefSeq and is a predicted model, not a curated record.
CCAGAAGCGGCCCCCCUCCUUUCCCUCCCCUAAAUUUUCUGCCGCCGCCGCCGCCGCGGCCUCCAGCGCGGCCUCCCCCGACUCUCCGCGAUCACCUGCGACGACGACGACGACGACCAGUUCAUGGUCGCUGGCCGGAGGAUAAGGAGCACGGAGCCACAUUGACCAUGGCGAGAGACAACAAGCUGGCCAGGGCGAGUCAAACCUAGGCACGGUUUCGGAGCCUCUCAUGGCCGAGCCCGCGCCACCUGCGCUCCUCCCCCUCAUGAGGCGCAGCAUCUGCUUCGAGGGCUCCUCCCGGAGAGGACUACUCCGGCUGCCUGCCAACGGAAGGACCUGCUCGGCCUCUUCCCCUGGAGCAAGAAGAAGGCCUCUUCUUCCGCUUCGGACCCCCACUAGGACAUGAAGCGGGAGAUGCAUCAUCUAUAGAUAUACUAAAAGGGGGAUCAAGACCUUCUGGUCUUUUGACUAAUGAUGCCUACUACCAGGUUAUAGAAGUCAAAGUUUAAGACUGUACAGGAAGAGAUUUAUUCAUGCAUAAUUUCUAACUCUCGUCUUCUAAGGAUAAAUGGAACUUCUAUCUAGCCUCUAUCUUAAAACUAUUAGACCUUAUCAACAUAGCAACAUGCAAAGUUUCAAUUGAAAUGUGGACAAGGUAUUUUAAGUAUUCAGGGGAACCUGUGACAUAUCUUACAUGUCUUUCCAUGUGAUUCACAUGACAAGUGCAGGCAAAUGUGCAGAUUAAUCAUUCUUAAAUUUUGAGAAGUAUUUUCCACUGCAGCUGGAUAAGGGUGCCGUGCCAUUGCUUUUUUCUGACAGCCAUGUUCUCAGCCACUGCAACCAUCAGUGGGCAUAGUAGUACAAGGUUUGGUCUCCAUGGCAACACAUGGGCACUUUCCUGACACAUAUUUGAAUUAAAAUUGACGAAAGCUCACUCACAUUUUUGGGCCAUCUCCCUAUAAAUUAUGCCCCCAUUGCAAUACAUGGGCAAUUACCUAGUAGGAUACAAAGUACAUGUUCUUAUGUGUUGUUUCAAAUUUUAACAGUAGAGGUUGUCUUGUAGAGUAUCCGGUGAAGCUAUAUUGCAUUGAAGUUGUAUCCCAUAUAAUACCAGCGAUGAGAUCAUAAAUAAAUCCUCUCAUUAGGGAUGCAGUAACAGGACACUUUGGGUUGUAGAAUAGCAGGUGAAGAUAUAAUGCACUGAACUUAUAUGACAUAUAAUUAUUACAUUCAUCAAUAGGGAAACAUGGUGCGCUCGCUCGCGUAUGACACGUCGGAUUUUUUACUGUGCUGAUUGGAAACACUGUUUUCUUAUUGCGAGAAACACUCCCUUCACGAAAAUAGCGAUCGAGAAAAGAGGAAACUUCCUCACGAAGGCACAGAUUCCUGUUUCUCCCACGCCGCCUCGACGACCAUGGAGGCGAUUCGGCGCUCCCACCAUCCAGAUCGAACCAACUGGGAGGAGGAGAACCACCACCGCCUUCUUGCUGCUCGUCUCCACUGCGCCUCAUCUGCGCUGCGUGGUAACCGAGAUGCGGCCGCCCCGUGCUCUGUCGGUUCCCAUGCACUCUCUCCCAGGUCUCUCUCUCGAUCUGAGAGGAAAUCAGACUCUGACUCCGCCUCGAUCACCUCCUCCCUCAUCUCAAUCACUUCUAGCCACACAGAGGGACGACCCAAGGGGAAGUAGGGGUCAUCGCCGAAGAAGUCAGGGAGGAGCGUAUGCUAGCUAGGGAGGCGGCUCGGACCAGAUCGACCAUGGUGAUGGCAUCGCUGACUCCCUACUGGGUAUUAUCAGCAUGAAUACUAUUUACACAGUUUGUUCUUUUGUUUAGUUUGACCGUCUUUGAAGUAAUUGACAUGUAUACUGCUGCAAAAUGAAUCUGUGAUGUUUAAAUCAACUUUAAAAACCUGCCAGGUUGGAUAUAUCUUUGUCGGAUAUUUUUAUACCAUUGUUUUUCUUCUGUUCAUUUGUUGGGUUGGGCCAAGACCAGUGGGUUCAUUUCUAGGGGCUAUCGUAUUUGUCUUGCUACCGACUGUAGAUGCGAUCACUAAUUCUCAUUGACUGUAGUUGUAGUUUUAGAAGUAGGAUGGCUAGCAGUCAUCAUAUAUUGGCUAAGUUGCAUUUGUGUUGGGUACAACAAGAUGAAGAUCAAGAGAAUCCCGAUGAAAAGCAUCAUGCUGAUUCUGAUGUGGAAAUAGAUGAUGCCAAGCCUUUGGAGGAAUCUGAAAGGAGAAGCAAUACUCAGAGUGCGAGAGUUAAGCAGUAUUGGAUAGAUCACAUUUCAGGGAUAACAUGGAUUUAUUUUGCUCUUCCUACUUUUGUUAGAUAGGCCACAUUCUUUUUCUUUCACUCAUGCCUUUGUUGGUGACGGUGCUGUUGUGUAAAUUCAACAUUGAUGUUUAGUGGUAUGACAUGGUUUACACAAGCUGAAAUUUCGAUCCCUUGGGAUGUUGCAGGUGCUGACAAUCUAAUGCCAACGGAACUGGCCCUUAAAAUUGCAACCAAGAUGAGUUACUUGCUGAGAUUCAGAAAUUAGUUCCCUUCCUGCAAGUUCUUCCAUUUUGUAACCCGACUUUUAAACCAAGCUGCCAUUCAUUCACCGUCCGGGACGUCGUCGUGCGGGCUCAUCCUGCUGCUGCUCCCCCUCGUGCUGACUCUGCACGUCCCUAGGUUCACAUUAGUUGCUUCUCUUCACGGUGAUUCAACUUUAUCGGUGUCCCUUUCAGCUCGAUGGUCAUGAAUCAAAUGUCAGAUUGUCUUUGAUGGGGAAAUUUGCACAUCAAGUAUUUGAUCUGGGAAAUGCAAUUAAAUGCAUAGGAUGCUUUUAAUCUUCAAAAUAUAUAGGCAUGCAUGAUCCACUUUCCGAGAUGGAUGGGAUUGCUGGCACUGGAAGUGGGUGAGGAAGACAUGGCUCGGUUUUAAGUGUCAUCGCGUUCUGUUGGUUGGACCUUUACUUAACAAACUGAGCAUUAUCUUCAAUUUGUUGACAAAGUUAUAGGCAAGCCUGAACAUGUGGCCGGUGGAGAUUUCUUCAACCAGGUAGUUCAAUCUGUCCCAGAUUAGGGUCCUCAUCGUUUGACAACGACCUCAACACCAUGGAAGCCAGGUGGCAGUUAAUGUCUGUCCCCAAAGACGGAGUUACAAAUCUACAUGAGGGGCCGUGGGUUUGUAGAAUUCAAAAGUGACGAAGGUGCAGAUUAUGUGCCAUGCAGAACUACACAUUUCAUUGCUUGUGUUAUCCUGUAAGAAAAUGAGAUGUAACCAGCAAAGCCUUUCAAACAUGUGCUGCAAGAGGCAUAAAAAACAAGGCACAGCUUCUCGCUCAGCUUGUUUAUUUUCUAUUGACUGUUUUUGUAUCGGUUUCAUUAUUUGUUCUAGAAUCUGCAGCUCAACUCAGUUUAUAUAUGAUUUUACUCCCAAAAAGAAUUUGAUUAUGUUUGCUCUUUCAGCUUUAGGCAAAUCUAUGCCUUGAUUAUGAAUUUAAACAUGUUGUUUUCAUGACUCUUGAGUCUGCCACUCCGUCUACCACUGGGAUCAUACCAAUUGCUAAUUAGCCGAUGAAUAUAUAAAUUCCUGGAUCUAAUAUGUCAUCUGCUGCUGUGAGAAUACAAACAUUGAGGUGGGGGUGGAGAUGCGGGUCAUCAGGAGACGGGAGGCACUGCAGUCGACGCAGAGCACCGGCAAUGGCGCCGUUGUCCUCGCACGAUUCGUCAGAUCCAACCUUGCGCGCCCGUGCCAGCUUUUGAUGGGGCCGUCACUGCAGGGAUGCCCAUGCUCACCGACCACUAGCGCUCCAUUGCGGUGCUCAGCCUCUGCAACUGCAGCCCAAUGAGUUUGGUAAUGCAAGAAGACGCAUGUCUUCAAUAGUGGACGUAAUGCACCAAAGGAAAUACAGUAUAUAAUGUUUGGAUUGACAGGUGGCAAACAAGGGCCGAACAGGUUCACGUGGCACCCGCCGAAGCACCGAUCCAUGACGGCCUUCGUGUUUGCAUGCCUGCUAGCCGCCGAGGUGGAGGACCAUGCAGAAGUUGGUGAGUUUGAUGAACCAGCAGCCGAAGGCGCAUUCAUCAUAUGGAAUGUUUCAAUACUUUGUUAAGGUUGUUCCCACUGUAUUCUCAUUCCUCUCCAAUUAUGUUGUGGCUGUCCCUUGUGUGCACAAGCAUACCCAUGUGUGUAGACGGACAUAUAUUUGUGUGAUUUGAACAAUUUUCAAGAUGUUCUUUGUGAUAUAACAUUUCAGAAGUAAUGAGAGUGUUUGGUUCGCUCUCGCUUUUUGCGCCAAGGGCGCAAGUAUGUUAAAUAUGGAAGAAUUAGGCAGGUGAAUUAGUUACAGUAGCAUCAACCAUCAAUUAUACAACAAGUGUUGAGACCUGACAUGUUGCAGUCGCAUCAGUACACAGAGCAAUUACAAGAAUCAGUGAACAGUCGUUGCAUGUUUCA